GGCAGUGGAGAGAUGAGGGCUCACUGCAGUCCCCACUUUCCCACGCCAAGCCAUCCUCCCAGCUUAGCCUCCUUAGCUCCUGGGACUACAGUCUCGCACCACUUCUUUGUAGAGGCAGGGUCUCACUAUGUUGCCCAAGCUGGUCUCAAACUCCUGGGCUCAAGUGAUCCUCCCUCCUCGGCCUCCCAAAGUGCUGGGAUUACAGGUGUGAGCCACCGCACCUAGCCUCUAAAAGACCAUUUGGCUCAUUUUAGACAUGAGGAAAAUGAGCUACGAGGAGGUAUGGCCUGCUCCAGGGCCACUCCACUUUUCAAAUGCCAGUUCUCCUAAUCCUUCAUCCUAGUUCUUCUUGAAGGCUUCUCCAGCUCUGAGUGCAUAACGUUUAAGCCUUGGCCCACACUGUGACAUAUCCAAAGUUUCUCCAAGAGGUGUCCUCACCUGUCACCUGCACAUCACCCUCUUCCACCCCUAACCUUCACCACUCUCCUUAAACUCCUACUUCCUCCCUGACAAGAGACACUUCCUCCUAUACCUCUGAGCUCCCAGCCAGGCUCCCAAGCCAGCCCAUCCCUUCCAUCAACACCCAACCUUGUUGCAUCAGUCUCAGAGCUGCUCCCUCAGAGCCCACAAGGGACCCAAGUGACAUGGCAA
RNAcentral lists this long non-coding RNA (651 nucleotides) under Homo sapiens (human). RNAcentral's name for it is "HSALNT0223702". Lineage: Eukaryota; Metazoa; Chordata; Mammalia; Primates; Hominidae. The record is from RNAcentral.